Molecule: small nuclear RNA, 107 nt
Organism: Sorex araneus (European shrew)
Lineage: Eukaryota; Metazoa; Chordata; Mammalia; Eulipotyphla; Soricidae
Source: Ensembl
GUCUCUCAUUCAGAGACGGCAGCACAUAUACUAAAAUUGGAAUGAUACAGAGAAGAUUAGCAUGGCCCCUGCGCAACACAUAACAUUUAGUUUAAAUAAUAAGUUUA